GGGGCGCUGGUCGUGGUUGUCGAGGGGGUGCUGGUCGUGGUUGUCGAGGGGGCGCUGGUCGUCGUGCUCGAGGGGGCACUGGUCGUCGUGCUCGAGGGGGCGCUGGUCGUCGUGCUCGAGGGGGCACUGGUCGUCGUGCUCGAGGGGGCGCUGGUCGUGGUUGUCGAGGGGGCGCUGGUCGAUGUGGUGGACGGGGCGCUGGUCGUUGUGCUCGAGGGGGCGCUGGUCGUCGUGCUCGAGGGGCCGCUGGUCGUCGUGCUCGAGGGGCCGCUGGUCGCG
Sebastes umbrosus (honeycomb rockfish) is the source of this 279-nucleotide long non-coding RNA. RefSeq lists it as uncharacterized. The transcript has 3 exons. NCBI's taxonomy places the organism in Eukaryota, Metazoa, Chordata, Actinopteri, Perciformes, Sebastidae. The record is from RefSeq and is a predicted model, not a curated record.